RNAcentral lists this long non-coding RNA (2933 nucleotides) under Homo sapiens (human). Its description in RNAcentral is "HSALNT0333491". The stretch from base 155 to 220 matches the Rfam family "mir-1255 microRNA precursor family". Lineage: Eukaryota; Metazoa; Chordata; Mammalia; Primates; Hominidae. The record is from RNAcentral.
UCAUGGAUGACUUUCACAGGUUCAAGACUUCAGUGGAGGAAAUAACUGUAGAUAUAGUGGAAAUAGCAAGAGAACUAGAAUUAGAAGUGUAGCCUGAAGAUGUGACAGAAUUGCUGCAUUCUUAUGAUAAAAUUUGAAUGGAUGAGAAGUUGCUUCUUAUGGAUGAGUAAAGAAAGUGGUUUCUUAGGAUGAAAUCUACUCCUGGGGAAGAUGCUGUGAAAUUGUUGAAAUAACAGCAAAGAAUUUAGAAUGUCACAUAAACUUGACUGAUAAAGCAGUGGCAGAGUUUGAGAGGAUUGACUCCAACUUUGAGAGUUCUGUGGGUAAAAUGCUAUUAAACAGCAUCACAUACCACAGAGAAAUAGUUCAUGAAAGGAAGAAUCAACUGAUGCAGCAAACUUCAGUGUUGUCAUGUUUUAAGAAAUUGCCACAGCCACCUGAGCCUUCAGCAGUUAUCACCCUAAUCAGCCAUGAGUCAGCAGACAUUAAGCCAUUCACUCAGUAAAUAUGUUCCAGUUUGGAGCUGAUCUCAACAAUGAUGUGUUAUGCCUUAGCAUCAGCCUGAAGCAUACGCACUGCUGCAGUGAGCCAGUCUUCUGAGCUGUUUCACCCAGGAAUGCAUUCAGACCAACUGCAGAAGAAUGAAAGAAGUGUCAAAUAGUUAAAGAAUCUAGCCCACACAGAAAGGGAGCUUCUGGUCAGGAGUUCUUCAGAGAGGAUAUGGUGGGUAUUUACUUGGGCCUCAAGGGUCCAGCUUCAGGUUCUUUGCCAUCAGUGGUGGAGACCAGUGAUACACAGCAAGGAACACGUCUUGGAACUACUGAUCCUGACCAUCCUGCCCAAGAACUCCAGGCCUGGGUAUAGGAGCAUCCCAGAGUAUAGGAAAGAGGCUGUCUGUACUGAAGAACUUGGAGAGGAAGCUGAAUGAUCUGAGAGGAAAGGUAAAAUGAAGAAAUGUCUUAUCAGAUAGCAGAUAUUAUCUCCAGAGAGAGAUAAGAGAGUUGAGAUAACUUCUCUAGCGUAGUUAGAGAAAAUGGCUAACAUGUUAUUGGCCAGAGUUAUUUAUUUUUGUUCUAGUUUGGUGAGUUUUUUUUAACUUGUAGGCCCUGUGUAUUUUCCCCUCUUUGUCUGUGUAUCCCUGCCCUUGCAGAUGACAGAAAACUGCUUUCUGCCCUCCCAUCGUGUGUUCCACAGUAAUAAUGGGAUUUUAAGCUCUAACUUUCAGCAAAUGUCACCCUCAUUAAACUCCAUCUAAUUGUGCCCAGUUCCCCACCCUCCUACAGGGGACAAGAAGUGUCCCAACGCAAAUAGUGUAUCUGGCAGCCUCAUAGGACUCAACUGGAGUCCGGCUCCAGCCAGUAAAGGGUCAACUCAGCUCUGAAUGUUGGGAGUUUCACACUGUUAAGGAGAACGCUGAGGAGGAGAUAGCAAAGAAGAAGUUAGGAAAUGUUGGUGUCUUUUUGCAUUUUUCCAAAUGAACCUUGUCACUAAAAUCUCUGCAUACCUUUCAUUUAAUCUCUAUUGCCUAUUCCACUUUUAACCUGUUCCUCUAAGCAUACCACUUUAGCCUGGAUUAUGAUUCUUUUCUUUCUUCACUUCUUUGCCUUAAAAUUGUUUUUUUUAAAAAAUCCUGCUACUCAUGUUACCUUGCAUGGUUCAGUUUCUCCCUUCUAAUACUGCCAACUUCCUUAACCCAGACCUCUUAUCGCAAAGACAGGAGAAUGUUUUUCUAUAUUGAAGCCAAUAGAAAACUACUAAAAGGCUACAUGCAAUUAGUAAAUUUUUAAAUGUACAUUUUUUAAAUGAGUGUAGGAAACAUAAAACUUUAGUAGGUGCAUGCUUACUGGGAAAGCACGCAUGCAUGCUAAAAUGUCAUUGUACAGUACAUAUUGUUUACCACUUGUUUUUUAGUUUAAUAUUACAUUAUGGAUAUCUUUUCAAGUUACAUAUAAUACCUAUAUGUAGCUGACAUACAUUUCACUGCAAGGGUAUUGAAUUAUUUUGUAACUGGCCUUAGAGGGUUUUUACAUUGCUGCUUUUUUCUUUUUUUAAAUACUACCAACUAAAAGCCAUAAACUCUUUUCUUUUUCUUUUUUUCUUCACUCUGUACUAUGAAAAAAGUUUAAGCAUAUAUAAAAGUACAAUUGUACUACUUCUAAUAAAUCCCCACAAACCUGUCACCCAGCUUCAACAUUAUCAGAUUAUGGCCAAACUUGUUUCACUUACAACUCUACUCAUAUCCCAUGCUUUUAUAUAUAUAUAAUUUUAAAGCAUAUCUGAGCUAGCAUAGUCUUUCAAAUGUAAAUAUUUCAAUAUUUGCUGUAAAAGAUAUGAAUUUUAAAAAUGUAAACAUAAUACUAUUUUCAUACCUAAACAAUUAACAGUAAUUCCUUAAUAUCAAUUUUCCAGUUUUCUCAAAGAUGUCAUAAACUUUUUUUUGUUCAUUUUGUUUUUUAACUUAUUUGAAUCAAGAUCCAAGGAAGAAAACACAUUGUGAUGGGUUGAUAUGUCUCCUAAGUUUCUUUUAAUAUAUGGGUACCCUCUCCUGUUUUCUCUUCCAACUCACUUGUUAAAGAAAAUGAAGUUGUUUGUCCUGUAGAGUUGCACACAGCAUGGGUUUUGCUGUCUGCAUCAUGUGCUAUAGUCUAAGAUGUUCUGUUGUCCUCUGUAUUUUCUGUAAAUUGUAGUAAUGUACAGGCUUGAUCAAAAUCAAGUUUUAAGUUUUUUUGACCAGAUAAAUUUAAUGAUUUUGGCAAGAUGGUGUGUUCUAUUUGAAGCCUAUUAUUUUCUGUUUGUCUCUUUUUCUGUGGUGUUAGCAGCUAUUGAUCCUCAAUACCUAUAGCCAGUAAUCCAUUACGGGUCCCAAAAUGGUGACAUUCUAAUUGCAUCCUUCUUUCUUCAUUUAAUAAAGCUGGAAUAGUUAUAUAAAGAGA